Molecule: ribosomal RNA, 603 nt
Filed under: uncultured bacterium
Lineage: Bacteria
Description: bacterial SSU rRNA
Rfam family: Bacterial small subunit ribosomal RNA
Source: RNAcentral
AGACUUUGAUCAUGGCUCAGGGUGAACGCUGGCGGCGCGCCUAACACAUGCAAGUCGAACGGAGAAAGUCCUUCGGGACAAGUAUCAGUGGCGAACGGGUGAGUAACACGUGGGAACCAACCCCCCGGACACGGAUAACUACUGGAAACGGUAGGUAAGACGGGAUAAGCUCGGGAGAGGAAAAUCCAAGGGAUGCCGGGGGACGGGCCUGCGACCCAUCAGGUAGUUGGUAGGGUAAGAGCCUACCAAGCCAACGACGGGUAGCCGAUGUGAGAGCAUGAACGGCCACAAGGGCACUGAGAGACGGGCCCUACUCCUACGGGAGGCAGCAGUGGGGAAUUUUGGACAAUGGACGAAAGUCUGAUCCAGCGACGCCGCGUGAAGGAAGAAGUCCUUCGGGAUGUAAACUUCUAAGAUUAUCGAAUAAAGGCCAUGGGGGACCAUGGAGCUGAAGGUAGAUAAAGAAAAGCCCCGGCUAACUACGUGCCAGCAGCCGCGGUAAGACGUAGGGGGCGAGCGUUGCCCGGAAUUACUGGGCGUAAAGGGGACGUAGGCGGUUAAUCAAGUCAGGUGUGAAAUGUCACGGCUUUACUGUGGAAUAGC